RNAcentral lists this ribosomal RNA (235 nucleotides) under uncultured bacterium. Its description in RNAcentral is "partial 16S ribosomal RNA". The record is from RNAcentral.
CUGCUGCCUUCCGUAGGAGUCUGGGCCGUGUCUCAGUCCCAAUGUGGCCGUCCGCCCUCUCAGGCCGGCUACCGAUCGUCGCCUUGGUGGGCCACUGCCCCGCCAACAAGCUAAUCGGACGCGGACCCAUCGCAUGCCGGGAUUGCUCCCUUUCCGCACUGCGCCAUGCGGCGCUGUGCGCAUAUGCGGUAUUAGCGGCUGUUUCCAGCCGGUAUCCCCCUGCAUGCGGCAGGUU